This 637-nucleotide long non-coding RNA is filed under the name Lepisosteus oculatus (spotted gar). RNAcentral's name for it is "lncRNA (ENSLOCG00000022425.1)". The record is from RNAcentral. Lineage: Eukaryota; Metazoa; Chordata; Actinopteri; Semionotiformes; Lepisosteidae.
CUUGAAGCAGCUUCUCGUUUGGUACUGUAGUUCCAGCAAAUUACUAUUGUAAAGACUCUGUAUUAAAACUGUGGCUCUCUGCUCACUCCACCAGCUUAAUUUCAGACAUAAAGAACUCACUCUCAUUACACUAGUGCCAAAUAAGGGGAUGUCAGUUACAUUGUAAUACAACACUGAGGAAGACUAGAUCCCCGCUAUGCACACGUUUUUAUUCGUUCACGUUUUAUAAGUUGUAAGAUAUAACACGUUACAAUGCUGAAGCAGAACUGUAGAAAUUGAUUACCAUUUAAAUACCAGACAUCUGUCAAUGCAGAUUCUCAUAUCGCAAAUUUGAAAUAUACGGCAGCUAUGAGCCUACUGCUGCAACCUCUGAAACCUGAAACACUUGGCUGGAGGGGAAGAAGGCAUCAGAGCAUCUCUACUCACGGAAGACUAAUGAGCUGGGGAGGCCAGACAAUUUUCACUUGGGGACGAACCCAGAGGAAUACAAUUUUUUUUUUUGUUGAAAAAGACACAAAAAUACAAAGGGGACAUGCUAACUCUAUAAAGACACCCAAGAGCAGACUCCAAAUAGAGGUGUGAUGCAGCCAUAUUUACUGUCAAGCCGCUGUGCCAAAUAUUUUAUAUUUAAUAAAAC